UAACAGUCAGAAAAUAGGCUGCUAAUACCGCAUAAGCGCACAGAGCUGCAUGGCUCAGUGUGAAAAACUCCGGUGGUAUAAGAUGGCCCGCGUUGGAUUAGCUUGUUGGUGGGGUAACGGCCCACCAAGGCGACGAUCCAUAGCCGGCCUGAGAGGGUGAACGGCCACAUUGGGACUGAGACACGGCCAGACUCCUACGGGAGGCAGCAUG
Molecule: ribosomal RNA, 211 nt
Filed under: uncultured bacterium
Lineage: Bacteria
Description: partial 16S ribosomal RNA
Rfam family: Bacterial small subunit ribosomal RNA
Source: RNAcentral